CUUUUGUCAACAGUAAGUGUCGAAAGAUCCCCAGAGGUGGCUACUAAAACAGCUGUAAAUCAUAAUGUAGGUGGCGAAGGAUAAACAAAGCUCUGCCUUAUCCUAUCUUUUUAACAUUUCAGGUUAAAACCACAGCCAAUUCCAUUUUUGGGUGUUCCAAGAAGCAACCAAUCUGUGCAAGACCAGCAUAAGGCUGAGCAGAGGAGCCUUUGGGAGCCAAACACAAGGCUUCUUUCAGGCAGAGCCGCUACAGAGGCAUAUGAGGGCAUUCAGUGUUCCACCCCAACCACAGGAUUUAUUUACCUUCCAGUGAGGGCCAACCAG
Molecule: non-coding RNA, 324 nt
Organism: Xyrichtys novacula (pearly razorfish)
Lineage: Eukaryota; Metazoa; Chordata; Actinopteri; Labriformes; Labridae
Source: the annotation of a GenBank genome assembly